RNAcentral lists this ribosomal RNA (425 nucleotides) under uncultured bacterium. Its description in RNAcentral is "bacterial SSU rRNA". It matches the Rfam family "Bacterial small subunit ribosomal RNA", at positions 356 to 773 of the family's 1533-position model. The record is from RNAcentral.
AGGGAAUCUUCCGCAAUGGACGAAAGUCUGACGGAGCAACGCCGCGUGAGUGAAGAAGGUUUUCGGAUCGUAAAACUCUGUUGUUAGGGAAGAACAAGUCAGGUAGUAACUGACCUGACCUUGACGGUACCUAACCAGAAAGCCACGGCUAACUACGUGCCAGCAGCCGCGGUAAUACGUAGGUGGCAAGCGUUGUCCGGAUUUAUUGGGCGUAAAGCGCUCGCAGGCGGUCUUUGAAGUCUGAUGUGAAAGCCCACGGCUUAACCGUGGAGGGUCAUUGGAAACUGGAGGACUUGAGUGCAGAAGAGGAGAGUGGAAUUCCAUGUGUAGCGGUGAAAUGCGUAGAGAUAUGGAGGAACACCAGUGGCGAAGGCGACUCUCUGGUCUGUAACUGACGCUGAGGAGCGAAAGCGUGGGUAGCGAAC